UAUACAUGCAAGUAGAACGCUGAAGAGAGGAGCUUGCUCUUCUUGGAUGAGUUGCGAACGGGUGAGUAACGCGUAGGUAACCUGCCUUGUAGCGGGGGAUAACUAUUGGAAACGAUAGCUAAUACCGCAUAACAAUGGAUGACACAUGUCAUUUAUUUGAAAGGGGCAAUUGCUCCACUACAAGAUGGACCUGCGUUGUAUUAGCUAGUAGGUGAGGUAAUGGCUCACCUAGGCGACGAUACAUAGCCGACCUGAGAGGGUGAUCGGCCACACUGGGACUGAGACACGGCCCAGACUCCUACGGGAGGCAGCAGUAGGGAAUCUUCGGCAAUGGGGGCAACCCUGACCGAGCAACGCCGCGUGAGUGAAGAAGGUUUUCGGAUCGUAAAGCUCUGUUGUAAGUCAAGAACGGGUGUGAGAGUGGAAAGUUCACACUGUGACGGUAGCUUACCAGAAAGGGACGGCUAACUACGUGCCAGCAGCCGCGGUAAUACGUAGGUCCCGAGCGUUGUCCGGAUUUAUUGGGCGUAAAGCGAGCGCAGGCGGUUUGAUAAGUCUGAAGUUAAAGGCUGUGGCUCAACCAUAGUUCGCUUUGGAAACUGUCAAACUUGAGUGCAGAAGGGGAGAGUGGAAUUCCAUGUGUAGCGGUGAAAUGCGUAGAUAUAUGGAGGAACACCGGUGGCGAAAGCGGCUCUCUGGUCUGUAACUGACGCUGAGGCUCGAAAGCGUGGGGAGCGAACAGGAUUAGAUACCCUGGUAGUCCACGCCGUAAACGAUGAGUGCUAGGUGUUGGAUCCUUUCCGGGAUUCAGUGCCGCAGCUAACGCAUUAAGCACUCCGCCUGGGGAGUACGACCGCAAGGUUGAAACUCAAAGGAAUUGACGGGGGCCCGCACAAGCGGUGGAGCAUGUGGUUUAAUUCGAAGCAACGCGAAGAACCUUACCAGGUCUUGACAUCCCGAUGCUAUUUCUAGAGAUAGAAAGUUACUUCGGUACAUCGGUGACAGGUGGUGCAUGGUUGUCGUCAGCUCGUGUCGUGAGAUGUUGGGUUAAGUCCCGCAACGAGCGCAACCCCUAUUGUUAGUUGCCAUCAUUCAGUUGGGCACUCUAGCGAGACUGCCGGUAAUAAACCGGAGGAAGGUGGGGAUGACGUCAAAUCAUCAUGCCCCUUAUGACCUGGGCUACACACGUGCUACAAUGGUUGGUACAACGAGUUGCGAGUCGGUGACGGCGAGCUAAUCUCUUAAAGCCAAUCUCAGUUCGGAUUGUAGGCUGCAACUCGCCUACAUGAAGUCGGAAUCGCUAGUAAUCGCGGAUCAGCACGCCGCGGUGAAUACGUUCCCGGGCCUUGUACACACCGCCCGUCACACCACGAGAGUUUGUAACACCCGAAGUCGGUGAGGUAACCUUUUGGAGCCAGCCGCUAAGUUGAC
RNAcentral lists this ribosomal RNA (1431 nucleotides) under Streptococcus thermophilus. RNAcentral's name for it is "bacterial SSU rRNA". It matches the Rfam family "Bacterial small subunit ribosomal RNA". The record is from RNAcentral. Lineage: Bacteria; Bacillati; Bacillota; Bacilli; Lactobacillales; Streptococcaceae.